GACGAACGCUGGCGGCGUGCUUAACACAUGCCAGUCGAACGGAAAGGCCCCUUCGGGGGUACUCGAGUGGCGAACGGGUGAGUAACACGUGCGUAACCUGCCCUUGACUUCGGGAUAACUUCAGUAAACUGGGGCUAAUACCGGAUAGGAAUCCUUGCUGCAUGGUGGGGGUUGGAAAGCUUCGGCGGUUUUGGAUGGACUCGCGGCUUAUCAGCUUGUUGGUGGGGUAGUGGCUUACCAAGGCUUUGACGGGUAGCCGGACUGGGAGGGCGACCGGCCACAGUGGGACUGAGAUACGGCCCAGACUCCGACGGGAGGCAGAAGUGGGGAAUAUUGCACAAGGGGCGGAAGCCUGAUGCAGCAACGCCGCGUGCGGGAUGACGGCCUUCGGGUUGUAAACCGCUUUCAGCAGGGGCGAAGCUUGUGGUGACGGUACCUGCAGAAGAAGCACCGGCUAACUACGUG
This 465-nucleotide ribosomal RNA is filed under the name uncultured bacterium. RNAcentral describes it as "partial 16S ribosomal RNA". It matches the Rfam family "Bacterial small subunit ribosomal RNA", at positions 28 to 507 of the family's 1533-position model. The record is from RNAcentral.